CGCCAUAAAUCGCGCCAUGAAAACGGUUACCUGCAUUAUCUGCCGGAAGAUUAUUCGCUAGCGCACGCGCUGGCCCGGCCGUUUUCGUCUCCCAAAUAGUCAGAUGCGAAACGCC
This 115-nucleotide small RNA is filed under the name Rhizobium sp. CIAT894. Its description in RNAcentral is "miscellaneous other RNA". Lineage: Bacteria; Pseudomonadati; Pseudomonadota; Alphaproteobacteria; Hyphomicrobiales; Rhizobiaceae. The record is from RNAcentral.